RNAcentral lists this transfer RNA (74 nucleotides) under Lentimicrobiaceae bacterium. RNAcentral's name for it is "tRNA-Ala". It matches the Rfam family "tRNA". From Rfam's summary of the family: Transfer RNA (tRNA) molecules are approximately 80 nucleotides in length. Their secondary structure includes four short double-helical elements and three loops (D, anti-codon, and T loops). Lineage: Bacteria; Pseudomonadati; Bacteroidota; Bacteroidia; Bacteroidales; Lentimicrobiaceae. The record is from RNAcentral. RNAcentral also lists the same sequence under 2 other names.
GGGGCAUUAGCUCAGUUGGCUAGAGCGUUUGACUGGCAGUCAAGAGGUCAGGGGUUCGACUCCCCUAUGCUCCA